AGCUUUGCGCAGUGGCGGUACCAUAGUCAAUGAGGUCUUACCGAGACGUGGUUAUUGCUAGUUGAAAACUAAUCCCAAUACCCCGCACAGACGACUCUAACCAGUCGGCUGGUGCAAUUUUUUACGGCCUUGUAUAGAGG
Molecule: non-coding RNA, 140 nt
Organism: Biomphalaria glabrata
Lineage: Eukaryota; Metazoa; Mollusca; Gastropoda; Planorbidae
Source: Rfam